Cucurbita maxima (winter squash) is the source of this 1402-nucleotide long non-coding RNA. RefSeq lists it as uncharacterized. The transcript has 3 exons. The record is from RefSeq and is a predicted model, not a curated record. NCBI's taxonomy places the organism in Eukaryota, Viridiplantae, Streptophyta, Magnoliopsida, Cucurbitales, Cucurbitaceae.
UCGAAAGAAAACUUGAGAGGAAAGGUAAAUCGCCGGAGUCCUCGUCGGAGAAUCACCAACGAAAUUCAUCCACUACCGAGACUUACACUCUAGAGUUUCUACUUGGAGAGAAGAAAGACUCGUGUUGUUGAGGUUCCUUCUUUCGUCAAGACACGAGAAAUUCGCAAGGGAAGAUUUUGUGAGGAAAUCGAACAAAACGUCGAGAUCUGAAAAUGUUUCCAAGAACGGUAAGGAUGUUAUCGGACCUCUUUCCGACGCUCAUAACUCGUCGUAUGAUUAAGUAAAAAUCAAGAAAAAAAAUAUUGGCACGUAGGUUGUAGUAUGAUCUAAGACUUUGUUGAAGAAGUCAUUACGGUUUAGAUUAAGAAUCGAGAGAUAGAAAAAUGAGAAAAACAUCGGAAACCUUGUUUUUCUGCUAGUAGGAGAGAGAAGUCGACGGCACGCCACGACACCAGCAAGAGGACCGCAUGCGCCAACAACCACCGGACAUGCAUUGAACGCCGCUUGGGAAGACUUGGCUCCAGCCUUCUAACGACACGCAUCCCCAGCCACACAACCCGACCUGCAGUCCACCCGAACCGAACUGAUGACCCGUAGCUGCAGAAAAUUGUGUGCACGUGACACUCACGCGUGGAACCUGCAAGUGACCUUGUCCCGGCACGUGGAAACGCGUGUAAGCCUGUUUUCAUCCCGUUCGACUUCUAUUUUCCCUAUUUUCCUCCUGAAUCCAAUCCUAACUGAAAUAGGAUCUAAUUGAGGAAAAAUCACUACUUUUCGAUAUGCUAAUUGUGUAGAAAUGCUGCGUAACGGCACGUAUCAUCCAGGUAAGUCACCACCUGAAACUUUAGGGAGAAAUACUUGUAGGAGUUGCUUGGAAUGCAUGCAUGCUAGUUUAAUUAUCUUAGGUGGUAGCCUCACGUGAUUGAAUGUAGGUAUUUGAUUGUUAAGAGCAAGGAUCUAUUAUGUGAAAUAAUAUGAGAAUUAUCUGAGUAUUGCUAUUAUGUUUUAAGCUUCCGCUUUAUAUGUAUAUGAAUAAUUCAUGCUGAAAGGAGUAUGGGAACUUGUGAACUCUGAUUGAUGGAUGUUAUCACCCCGUUGAGCAUGUAUGUGUAUUUUGCAUGAAUUUUGUAUGAUGAUGCUGAAUAAUAGUUGUGUGCACACUCAAUUAAUUUUCAUGACCCACAGGUAUGGUAAAGUCAGGAUUUGUGGUUAGAGCGACAAGUCACUAAGGUACGUGUGGCGUCGAGUCAAGAGAGGGCGCGUUGAACGAUGUGGGUUGUCACAAAGGAAGCAUGUCCCGGGUCGUCAGUCCAGUCUUAGUGAUUAGUACACUUUGUCCUUCAUGUUUUCUUUCCUUGUCUAUAACUAGUCACAUAUGUCCUCUUUGGAUUGAAAUGUUUUC